This 250-nucleotide ribosomal RNA is filed under the name uncultured bacterium. Its description in RNAcentral is "partial 16S ribosomal RNA". It matches the Rfam family "Bacterial small subunit ribosomal RNA", at positions 524 to 773 of the family's 1533-position model. The record is from RNAcentral.
UACGGAGGAUCCGAGCGUUAUCCGGAUUUAUUGGGUUUAAAGGGUGCGUAGGCGGAAGGAUAAGUCAGUGGUGAAAGUUUGCAGCUCAACUGUAAAAUUGCCAUUGAAACUGUUUUUCUUGAGUGCAAAUGAGGUAGGCGGAAUGUGUAGUGUAGCGGUGAAAUGCAUAGAUAUUACACAGAACUCCAAUUGCGAAGGCAGCUUACUGGGAUGCAACUGACGCUGAUGCACGAAAGCGUGGGGAUCAAAC